This 467-nucleotide ribosomal RNA is filed under the name uncultured bacterium. RNAcentral's name for it is "partial 16S ribosomal RNA". It matches the Rfam family "Bacterial small subunit ribosomal RNA", at positions 28 to 506 of the family's 1533-position model. The record is from RNAcentral.
GACGAACGCUGGCGGCGUGCUUAACACAUGCAAGUCGAACGGAAAGGCCCUGCUUUUGUGGGGUGAUCGAGUGGCGAACGGGUGCGUAACACGUGUGUAACCUGCUCUUGUCUUUGGGAUAACUUCAGGAAACUGGGGCUAAUACCGGAUAGGAGAUCAUGCUGCAUGGUGGGGGUUGGAACGUGUCGGCGGUCGGGGAUGGACGCGCGGCUUAUCAGCUUGAUGGUGGGGUGGUGGCUUACCAAGGCUUUGACGGGUAGCCGGCCUGUGAGGGUGACCGGCCACAGAGGGACUGAGAUACGGCCCAGGCGCAUACGGGAGGCAGGAGUGGAGAAUAUUGCACAAUGUGCGGAAGCGGUAUGCAGGAACGCCGCGUGCGGGAUGACGGCCGUCGGGUAAGAAACCGCUUUCGCCUGUGACGAGGCGUGAGGAACGGUAAUGAGGAAAGAAGCACCGGCUAACUACGG